RNAcentral lists this long non-coding RNA (525 nucleotides) under Manihot esculenta (cassava). RNAcentral describes it as "long non-coding RNA (MESC_LNC005018)". The record is from RNAcentral. Lineage: Eukaryota; Viridiplantae; Streptophyta; Magnoliopsida; Malpighiales; Euphorbiaceae.
GUGUGCUACUAAUUAUCUUCAAAGGUGUUUGUUUUGAGCUUGCAGGUUCCCUAUUGAAAUAAAUGAAAUUGCUUCAAUCACAAAAGUGAAAAGUGCCAAUUAUGGAAGCAUACCACAAGAAAGGGAUAAGAAAUUAUUUUUGUUUAUGCCUUGUUAAAUUCUAUUCAUUGUGAAUUUCAAGUAAUUGAUUGUGAUGGCUCAAGGGUUCUUUCAUUUCUAAAAGUUCUUUUAGAUAUGGCCACUUUUUAAAAAAGUACUUGACUUUCAGGGACCAAAAUGAAAUUUUCCAAAAGAAGUGAUUUUGAAAUUAUUUUUCAUCAAAAUGAAAGAUCUAAAAAUAUAGGUUGCAAAAGUUCAAACGGUUUGAAAAAAGGAUUUUUACAGCCUAAGUUAUGAUUUUUCAAAGAUUUAAAGAAUUAUUUUUUUGCCCCCCUAAAGUCAUUUUUCGGCUUCCGAAAGUCAGGGACAGAAACGAAAGUCCCCUAUGUUCGGCCGCCGAACAUUGACUUUCGGCCGCCGAAGGUG